Molecule: ribosomal RNA, 287 nt
Filed under: uncultured bacterium
Lineage: Bacteria
Description: partial 16S ribosomal RNA
Rfam family: Bacterial small subunit ribosomal RNA
Source: RNAcentral
AACGAACGCUGGCGGCGCGCCUAAUACAUGCAAGUCGAGCGAGAAGACGUAGCAAUACGUUUGUAAAGCGGCGAACGGGUGAGGAAUACAUGGGUAACCUACCCUCGAGUGGGGAAUAACUAGCCGAAAGGUUAGCUAAUACCGCGUACGCUCCUUGGACUUCGGUUCAGGGAGGAAAGCGAUACCGUGGGUAUCGCGCUCUUGGAUGGGCUCAUGUCCUAUCAGCUUGUUGGUGAGGUAACGGCUCACCAAGGCUUCGACGGGUAGCUGGUCUGAGAGGACGAUCA